This 418-nucleotide long non-coding RNA is filed under the name Linum usitatissimum (flax). RNAcentral describes it as "long non-coding RNA (LUSI_LNC004345)". Lineage: Eukaryota; Viridiplantae; Streptophyta; Magnoliopsida; Malpighiales; Linaceae. The record is from RNAcentral.
GUGCGGGCGGGGGAGGAUCUUGCCGCCGAAGCUGCACAUGAAGCGGACUCGCGGAGGCGCAUCGCCGUGGAUGUCGGAGCGUGGGGAGGACGCGACCGAGUCCGUGGCGGCGGAUUCCAGGGCUGUCUGGUGGUGGGGGGACAUGUCGGCGGCGGCUGGGGAAAGAUGGGAGCUGGGAUGACAUAGCGGCGGCGGCGGGUAAAAUUGAGAAUUGGGGUUUCUUCUCCGCCGUCAGUAGGAAGAAAGGACGGCGAAGAUCGAGAAAAACAAGUGAUUGGAGAGAAGUUUGUGGAAAUUCAGAGGCGGAGAAAGGGAAUAUUUGUGGGGGAAGAAAGAGUUAGUGGAGGGAAUAAUUAUUCAUAUGUUGAAAAAUAAAUUAAAAUAUCAAAUCAGCCGGCCAAAUAUGAUUUUUUUUAAA